This is a long non-coding RNA of Oncorhynchus tshawytscha (Chinook salmon), 203 nucleotides long. RefSeq lists it as uncharacterized. The record is from RefSeq and is a predicted model, not a curated record. NCBI's taxonomy places the organism in Eukaryota, Metazoa, Chordata, Actinopteri, Salmoniformes, Salmonidae. The transcript has 2 exons.
GAUACGAUGGACUACCUUAAGCUAAGUUAAGUGUAUGGAACCACCAGACAGGACCAGAAUGUGAAAACUAAAAUGUUUAUUGAGCAGAAACAUGCUUUAAUCAAAAAUAUCUCUGGAACAGUAGCAAGGUCAAUGGGUCAAAGGUCAGAAUAUCUCUGGAACAGUAGCAAGGUCAAUGGGUCAGAGGUCAGCACCCCCCGAAA